This 119-nucleotide non-coding RNA is filed under the name Geoalkalibacter ferrihydriticus. RNAcentral describes it as "MoCo sequence". It matches the Rfam family "Molybdenum/Tungsten riboswitch aptamer (Moco RNA motif)". Lineage: Bacteria; Pseudomonadati; Thermodesulfobacteriota; Desulfuromonadia; Desulfuromonadales; Geoalkalibacteraceae. RNAcentral also lists the same sequence under 1 other name. The record is from RNAcentral.
UGUAAAAAAUUGCUCCGAGCCAUUCGACCUAAGGAUUUACGUCUAGGGUCCUUGGCCAAUGGGUUUCGCUGGAAACGGCGGAGCCUCCCUUUCGGAAAGGAGACAAAGCGAUCUGUCAC